RNAcentral lists this long non-coding RNA (3953 nucleotides) under Taeniopygia guttata (zebra finch). RNAcentral describes it as "lncRNA (ENSTGUG00000021230.1)". The record is from RNAcentral. Lineage: Eukaryota; Metazoa; Chordata; Aves; Passeriformes; Estrildidae.
CAGCCUCGUCCCCACCCUGCAGCGUACAUAUAAAGCUGGCGAGCGCGCUCCCCGCUCUCUUUUUUCUCCGCGGAGGGCCGGUGCGGCGGCACACGGUGUGACGGAGAGGAGGUUUUCAAUCGUGUCGAGUACAUUGCACAUUAAGCAUUUCAUGGAAGGCCUAUCACAAGUAGAAGAAUACUUCGUACACACAAGUGGAUUUUCCUGAAAGCUGAGUAUGUUCUAAUGAUCAGUGGGGAUAAAUGUAUUAGAAAAUGAUGCAUAGGAUUAAAUUAGUAGUUAUGUCAUUAGCUUUAAAAUUGAGGUAUCAGUAAUUUUGGGCAUGUUUGACAUGGUCUAGAACUGUGUGGGCUGGGGGGUUUGGGAAGAGAUACUUGGUGUUGGAGGAGCUGGUAAAAUGCCUAUCCUGAAGUGUUCGUACAAAAUUUAAAGUUCACUUCAGUAUAGCUUUUAAUUUUAAAUUUGCACUUUAUUGGGAAAUAAGUAUGAAACAGUGUUUAGUCAAAAAAAAAAAAAGGGACAUCUGGAUGCUUAUUAAUAUAAAUAAGCAAAUAUUCCUAUAUUUUAAUAAAAAUGUGUAUUUACUUUUUUAAUGUAUAGUUGUUAUCCUCAUUUCUUUGAAAGAAAGAAAAAAGAAUCUGUAUUCGUAUAGAUCAGGAUCUGUAUUCAUUUAAAUUUUAUUCAAAUGCUUAUAACGAGUUGUUAGAAAAGUAGAAAUUGGUUGUUCUUACUGGCUUAUGUAAUAUGAUACAUGAACUUGUGGUAAUUUGUGAUUUUACUCAAAUUUCUAGAAUGGCAUGAACAGUUUCCAGUAAUGGGAAUGUGACAUAUCCUGAAGAAAAAUUUCCUCAAGACAGGAAAUAAUACAAGAGGUAAAAUGUAUUGAAUAAACAGCAGACUUUUUUGUUGAUUGUAAUUUAUUUCCAUUUUAGUACAUUGCUAGUGAAAGAGGUGGAUGUUGUCUUGUGGAAUAUAUAAAUGUAUGAGUGGUGUUACAGUUCCUGUCACUGAUCCUUGUGGAUAAUGGUGAAUCAUGCUAAAACUGUCAAACCUGAUACAUUGAUGAGCAACUUCUUAAGCCUUUGGCUACUGAAUAUCAAACCACUUAAGAUAUUUCAAUCAUAAACCGUAUGAGCUGGUGUUGGUUUAAUGCUGCUGCUGUGUACAAGUGAGGUACCAGCAUAUGUACCAGGCUGUGAAUAAGAAUGUUGAUGCAUUGUCUAAACCCACGUGAGGUCUGUGGUAACAAAAAUAAAUACUGUUGUAGAAGCUUGCAUCUUUGAAGAGCAGAGAGGAGGAAGUGUUAUUCUGCCUUCUAGUGGGUAAAUAACAAGCAGUAGUCAGGUGUGGUCAGGAAGUGUUGCAGGUGUUUGAAAUCUAGUGAUGAUGUUUGCACUUCGAUCCUCUUAGGACCGUUAAUUUGGGGGUCAUUCAGAUGUGAGCAUUUAGGAAAUGUCUAAUGACGAAGGUGGAAUUUGAUGGUAAAUUGUAGUGAAUUCUAAAUUAAGCGGUUUCAGCUCCAGAGAUAGAUUACUUCACAAGGGCAAGUAAAAAUUUUAAGUAGCUGAACUUAAAAUUUUUCAGUGAAAUUCACUUUACUGCACUGGUGUUUGGGUCCAUGGGCUGCUUAUAGUUAAAAAGUUAAAAUGUAGAUAGUGUUAUUCAAGAAAGGUACCUUUAAAUACUUUGUUAGCUAUCAGUACUUUCUUUUGAACAGUGGGUUUUGUUCUAGUAUGUGAAGUUCAAAUGUGUGAGUGAAACUUCUUGUGCAGCAGUGCUGCCUAUAAGAUGCUGUAUUGUUUAGACAGGCACUAUUGCAAGUAGAAAGGGGUGUGACUUUGUGGCUCACCUAGAGAAAAGUUAGAAGUAGCAAACCUUGUUAGUAUUAACUAACCAGUGCAUUUUAUGUCUUUGCAGAGAUGCUUGAAGGCUGCGUCUGAAUAGAAGGAAAACAUGUUUUGUAGAAAACAAGCAGGAGCAAGUGCUUUUAGCUUAUUCAGAGAUGAAUGGGAGCACUUGUCAGAACUGCCUGACAAAUGUGGAUGAUGUAACCAGAAGGAAGUGUAACACCUGAAGAGAUACUGUGGCUUGGAGUUAAUGCUUUUAAAAAGCCUGCUAAAAUAGCUGCAAUUUUGUCCAGUAGAUACUGUCUCUGCAUAUUUAAAAUACCAUCUUUCCAAAAUACUGAACUGUCUUCUGCUGGAAGUGUAGCAGUAAUAUUAGGGAAAGGAGUGCAUGAAAAAACCCUUGAUUAUUUACCCUUUUAAAAUACCAUAUAGGUGCACAGUCUUGCAGAUACUGGAGAGCUGUGAUAACUCGGGAUUGGAACUCACAGGCAGGCCUUGUAAAAAGGGUGAAAGCAAAGACAAUGUCUACAGCUUGCAUCACUGUAUCUGGUGAGGGAGUGAGGAGUUGGGGUUUUAUGAGCUGCUGUUUCAGCAGGAGAAGACUAGUACCACAGCAGUGGAACUGCCCCUUGAGGAAUGCACUGGUAACAGUACUUGCUUGCUCUCUGGGGGAAAGAGGUUGGUAGUGGGAGAAGAGUUAACGUACAUUGCAACUUGGGCUUUUGUCUUGGUUUGAAAAGACAGGUGUCUGCCUAAGGAAGGCAGGAACCUCCCUUGAAACGGAAAAUGUAAACCCCCUCCAAAUUACUAUAAUUUUGAAAUUAAGGGUCUCUCAGGCAAAGAUAUAGGAAUAGGAAUAACAGUUCUUUAUUAGGAAAAAUAAAAAAGCAGUAAUACAAAACAUCACUGAUAGAGUCAGAAUACAACCUGACAACCCUGUGGGAAUCAGGAUGUUGGUAGCAGUCCAAUUGGAUGGUGGCUGCAGUACUUUGGAGCAACAGGUGUGGUUCUCUUGAAGUAGUGAUCCUGUAGAAGGGUGGAGUUUUCCUCUGAAGGUCCAGUGGUGGUGUAGGUGGCCUUGAUCUUCCUCUGGGAAUCCAGUAGAGAAGAAAGCUACUCCUCUGGAAUCCAGUGGGAGAAGGCUGCCUUGUGGUAUUCCAAACCUCAGAUUACAUCCAGAUAGGAAUGCUUGGCUCCUCCCCCUGGGCAGAGCCUCUCCCAAUGAGAUUAUGUAAUUUUGUCAGUCAAGGAAUGACCACUAACAGAAUAUGCCUCCCCAGAGGGAGGGUUGGAUGUGGAAGAGAUAAAGAAAACUGCCCAAUUAACAGAAGAUAACUGCCACACCUGUAAUAGAUAGCAAUAGAAUACACACCCCCAGCUACAUCUUGCAACCUAAGACAGCUUUGAACAGUCACUUGAAAAGUACUGGUGCUGUAAUUGUAAUAGCAGCAUAUUUGCUGUAGUCAGCAAACUGUCCCUUCCACAGAGGAAUGGAGGAUUGUAAGUUGGUCACCAAGGAAGUUUAAAGACAAAAGUUUACCUUGAAGCAUGACUUUCAAGCCUUAUUGUUAGGAAUUCUUUGUAAAGGCAGAAACAUUAUAACAGCAUAAUUCCUACUGUAACUGAAUACUUUUGAAAUCAUCCAAAAUACAUAAAACAGCUCUAUAGUUCAUGGGGUGUACCUGUUCAUCAAUGACGAAUUCUAUGUAUGUACAAUUUUCUGUCAAAAGUAGUAUGAAGUAUAAACAUUACCAGGAACAACGCAUAAAGCAUUGGAAAUGUCAAAAAUAAGUAUCCAUCAUGCUACUGAAGUGGAUGCCAAGGAUCUGACUGAACUCCAUGAGUGCAUUGGCUCACUUGGCGCAUCCUGUGGUUUUCUUACUAAACAGUGGCCUGCUGCUUUGGCUAAAGGCUGCUCCUUUUGAGCAAGGAAUGGUAAAUCAGUCUGUUGAAUAUCAAGAUCUGCAGAAAUAAAGUAGAAAAUAGCUUUCUCUUUAUUGCUUUAAAUAACUUGUUUCUGUUAACAAAUGUUGCUGGGAAUGGUGCGUAUUUUUAUGUGCCAUGUUUUAUACAUGCUUCUGAAUAAAAAUAAGGAUGUUAAAGUCA